AUACGGAGGAUCCAAGCGUUAUCCGGAAUCAUUGGGUUUAAAGGGUCCGUAGGUGGAUAAUUAAGUCAGAGGUGAAAGUUUGCGGCUCAACCGUAAAAUUGCCUUUGAUACUGGUUAUCUUGAAUCAUUGUGAAGUGGUUAGAAUAUGUAGUGUAGCGGUGAAAUGCAUAGAUAUUACAUAGAAUACCAAUUGCGAAGGCAGAUCACUAACAAUGUAUUGACACUGAUGGACGAAAGCGUGGGGAGCGAACGGGAUUAGAUACCCCGGUAGUCCACGCCGUAAACGAUGGUCACUAGCUGUUCGGACUUCGGUCUGAGUGGCUAAGCGAAAGUGAUAAGUGACCCACCUGGGGAGUACGUUCGCAAGAAUGAAACUCAAAGGAAUUGACGGGGGCCCGCACAAGCGGUGGAGCAUGUGGUUUAAUUCGAUGAUACGCGAGGAACCUUACCAGGGCUUAAAUGUAGAUUGCAUUAGCUAGAGAUAGCUAUUUCUUCGGACUAUCUACAAGGUGC
This 513-nucleotide ribosomal RNA is filed under the name uncultured Winogradskyella sp. Its description in RNAcentral is "bacterial SSU rRNA". It matches the Rfam family "Bacterial small subunit ribosomal RNA", at positions 523 to 1041 of the family's 1533-position model. The record is from RNAcentral. Lineage: Bacteria; Pseudomonadati; Bacteroidota; Flavobacteriia; Flavobacteriales; Flavobacteriaceae.